This 804-nucleotide ribosomal RNA is filed under the name uncultured soil bacterium. RNAcentral describes it as "bacterial SSU rRNA". It matches the Rfam family "Bacterial small subunit ribosomal RNA", at positions 8 to 809 of the family's 1533-position model. The record is from RNAcentral.
AGAGUUUGAUCCUGGCUCAGGAUUAACGCUAGCGGCAGGCCUAAUACAUGCAAGUCGAGGGGUAACAGGGUAGCAAUACCGCUGACGACCGGCGCACGGGUGCGUAACACGUAUGCAACUUACCUUUAACUGGGGAAUAGCUUCGAGAAAUCGAAAUUAAUACCGCAUAACAUUCUGAAACGGCAUCGCUUUAGAAUUAAAACUCCGGUGGUUAAAGAUAGGCAUGCGCGACAUUAGCUAGUUGGUGAGGUAACGGCUCACCAAGGCGACGAUGUCUAGGGGGUCUGAGAGGAUGAUCCCCCACACUGGUACUGAGACACGGACCAGACUCCUACGGGAGGCAGCAGUAAGGAAUAUUGGACAAUGGGCGCAAGCCUGAUCCAGCCAUGCCGCGUGCAGGAUGAAGGCUCUAUGGGUCGUAAACUGCUUUUGUACGGGAAGAAACCCUCCUAUGUAUAGGGGGCUGACGGUACCGUAAGAAUAAGGAUCGGCUAACUCCGUGCCAGCAGCCGCGGUAAUACGGAGGAUCCAAGCGUUAUCCGGAUUUAUUGGGUUUAAAGGGUGCGUAGGCGGACUUGUAAGUCAGUGGUGAAAGCCUGCGGCUUAACUGCAGAACUGCCAUUGAUACUGCUGGUCUUGAGUAUAGUUGAGGUGGGCGGAAUGUGUCAUGUAGCGGUGAAAUGCUUAGAUAUGACACAGAACACCGAUGCGAAGGCAGCUCGCUAAACUAUAACUGACGCUGAGGCACGAAAGCGUGGGUAGCAAACAGGAUUAGAUACCCUGGUUAGUCCACGCCCUAAACGA